AACCCUGAUUCUUUUCCCUUCCAAAUUCCAGCGUUUCUUUCUUGUCCUUCUCGUCUUUGAUUGAUUAUUGGCUCGUCGACUUUGUCUCUUCUCCUUCCCCUUCCAAGGAUAGAUUGCAAUAGUCAACCUUCAGAAAGUCAUUCAAUAGGUGCCGCACAAUCGAGCCGUGCAAAGACUGACCGUGCAUGAGAAGACUUUUCUUCAACUCAUGAUAUUGACGGUAAAGCACGUUUCACAUGUCUUUGUUGCAACAAUAGCUUUAAAGGUGGUGGAAUUAACAGAAUAAAGUAUCAUCUUGCUGGAAUUAAAAGUCAAAUAUCUCAACGUAAGAAAGUUACUUAUGAUGUUCGAUUUAAAUUUCAAGGUAUUCUUAGGGAUUUAUCUAAAAAGAAACAAGAUGCUAAAGAGGCUCAUGAUUGUACGUUUAAGGACAAUUAUAUAGAUUUAGAAACUGGAGGAGAGGAAAUAGAAGAGGUUAUUCAAGAAAUGAAUAUAUCAUUAGAAAAGCAAAGACAAGAAAAAGGGAAGAGGAAAGCAAGUGAAGGUAUUGAAACAUAUUUUGCUCCAAAGACUACUCCUGGAUCUCAACCUAGUUGAAAGAGUGCUUUAGCUGGUAAACAAGCAAUAAAGAGAGCCCAUAUGUCUUGGGCUAGGUGGUUUUAUGAUGUUUGCAUUCCAUUUAAUGCUUUGCAAUCACCUUACUUUCAACUUGCUUUAGAUACCACUGCUGCAAUUAGUCUAGGAUUUAAAGGUCCUUCUCAUAAUGACAUUCGCGUUAAUUUGUUGAGAGAUUACAAGAAAGAAUGCCCAUUGUUUGUUGACACAUAUCGAAGUCAGUGGAUAAAUAAUGGAUGCGCAAUUAUGGCCGAUGGUUGGACAGAUCAAAGACAUAGAACUUUGAUUAAUUUUUUAGUAUAUUGCUCUUCUGGGAUUAUAUUUAUAAAAUCUUAUGAUGCACCAGAUGUAGUGAAAGAUGCUCAAACAUUGUGUAAUUUAUUUUUUGAGAUAGUUGAAUGAGUUGGACCUCGUAAUGUAGUUCAUAUGGUAACUGAUAAUGCAGCAACUAUGUGGCGAUAGGGAAAUUAUUGCAUGACAGAUAUGAUCACAUUUUUUGGUCUUCUUGUGCUGCACAUUGUUUGAAUCUUAUUCUAAAAUAUAUUAGUAGUAUGCCUCACGUACAUUCACUUGCAGUAUGUGCUUUGAAAAUUACAAUAUUUGUGUAUAAUCACACAAUUUUUUUGUCUUGGUUGAGAAAAGUACCUGAACGGAGAGAAAUUGUACGUCCAGCUAUGACUCAUUUUGCUACCAUUUUUAUUACAUUGAAAUGCAUUUAUGAUCACAAACAAUUAUCGCAGAGUUUGGCAACAAGUAGGCAUUUUACAAGCCAUAGGCUUUCAAAAAGUGCAAAUGGAAGACUCGUGAGUUCUAUCAUCUUAGAUAACAAAUUUUGGGAGGAUUGCUUGAUGAUUGUGAAAAUUGUGGCUCCUAUUAUAAGAUUGUUACGAAUUGUACAUUCAGAUGAAAAACCUUCAUUGGUUUAUGUAUAUAAUGGCAUGCGUAGGACACGAAAAGGAAUCAAGAAUAUAUUAUUAAGUAAGAAGAGAUUGUACAAACCUUCCACUGAUAUAAUUAAAGAGCGAUGGGAUAAACAUCUUCGCUACUUAACAUACAUGCAACAACUUAUUUUUUUAAUCCUGCUUUUAUUUAUGAAGAAGGAUUUUGUCAAAAAAUAGAAGUCAUGAAAGGUCUAUUCAAUUUGCUUGAAAUCAAAAGCAUUUGUGGUGAUGAGACAAAAGCAAUGGGGGAGAUAAGGAUGUAUCGAGAACGUGAAUGGAGUUUUCGAAGGCAAUCUGCAUAAGAAUGGUGGAAAUCGUGUGGAUCUAGUGCUCCUACCUUACAAAAGAUAGCUGUUUGAAUUCUUGGUCAAGCAGCUUCUUCUUCGGGAUGUGAAAGGAAUUGGAGCGUCUUUGAACGUAUUCACACGGAAAAAAAGAAAUAGAUUGGAGCAUCAAAGACUCAACGAUCUUGUGUAUAUUACGUAUAAUUUGCGAUUAAAGAAUAGACGAUAUUAUAAGAAGAGAUCUUAUGAUUCAGUUGAUUAUGAAUGUAUUGAAAAAAUAAACUUUUGGAUAGAAGAAGAAGUGCCACCACAGGAUUUCGAGUAUGAAGAAUUAAAUAAUGCUAUUUAUGAAGAAAAUGCAAUUUCCAAUGUCAAUGAUCAUGAAGAUGACAAUGUUCAAGAUGACACUGAAAAUAACGAUGAGAUGAAUACUCAAGAGAUGGGAGAUUUAGACACGAUGGAUGUUAUUCAUCAUUUUCGUGGUUCAAGUGAUUGUAGAAGUGAUCAAGGAUUAAAGGCUUAUGGAUGAAAAUGACAAAGACGAAAUUUAACUAUUUAAUUUUUUAUGUUUAGUACACUUUUUGGUUUCAAUUAUUACUUGACAUUUUUUCAUUGGUGACAGUUGAUGUGAAACUUCUAAAUUUUAGCUAUUUAAGUUGUCAUGUUAUUCAA
Long non-coding RNA from Olea europaea var. sylvestris, 2512 nucleotides. RefSeq lists it as uncharacterized. The record is from RefSeq and is a predicted model, not a curated record. Lineage: Eukaryota; Viridiplantae; Streptophyta; Magnoliopsida; Lamiales; Oleaceae. The transcript is spliced from 5 exons.